Otolemur garnettii (small-eared galago) is the source of this 4233-nucleotide RNA transcript. It is a transcript of the gene named mediator of RNA polymerase II transcription subunit 14 pseudogene, with no coding region annotated. The transcript has a single exon. Lineage: Eukaryota; Metazoa; Chordata; Mammalia; Primates; Galagidae. The record is from RefSeq and is a predicted model, not a curated record.
AUGGCCCCAGUGGAGCUGGAGAACCACCAGCUGGUCCAGCCCGGAGCCGGCGGCGCGGUUCGCGGAGGCCCGGCGUCAGCCCCGGCUCCUCCUCCUCCGGGAGCCGCCCUGGCGGCGGCAGCUGCAACUGCAGCUAGCCCUGGCUACCGGCUGAGCACCCUCAUUGAAUUUCUGCUGCACCGGGCCUACUCUGAGCUCAUGGUGUUGGCUGACCUACUUCCAAGGAAAUCUGAUGUGGAAAGGAAAAUGGAAAUAGUGCAGUUUGCUAGCCGGACACACCAACUCUUCGUUCGAUUGUUAGCUUUAGUAAAAUGGGCUAAAGAUGUCGGCAAAGUGGAAAAAUGUGCGAUGAUCUCAAGCUUUUUAGAUCAGCAAGCCCUCCUGUUUGUGGACGCUGCUGAUCGCCUGGCCUCAUUAGCUAGAGACGCUCUAGUCCAUGCACGCCUGCCUAGUUUUGCCAUUCCAUAUGCUAUUGAUGUACUGACUACUGGGUCUUACCCACGGCUGCCAGCCUGUAUAAGGGAUAAAAUUAUUCCUCCAGACCCAGUCACGAAAAUUGAAAAACAAGCCACACUUCAUCAGCUGAAUCAGAUUCUUAGACAUCGGCUUGUAACCACAGAUCUUCCUCCUCAGUUAGCAAAUCUUACGGUUGCAAAUGGCCGAGUGAAGUUUCGAGUUGAAGGAGAAUUUGAAGCCACCUUGACUGUAAUGGGAGAUGACCCUGAUGUUCCAUGGCACCUUCUCAAGCUAGAAGUUCUAGUUGAGGAUAAGGAAACAGGAGAUGGGCGAGCUUUGGUUCAUAGUAUGCAAAUCAACUUUAUCCAUCAGCUGGUGCAGUCCAGGCUUUUUGCUGAUGAGAAACCACUUCAGGACAUGUACAACUGCCUCCAUUCUUUCUGCUUAUCACUUCAGUUAGAAGUAUUACAUUCCCAGACUCUAAUGUUAAUCCAGGAGCGGUGGGGAGACCUUGUGCAGGUGGAAAGGUAUCAUGCUGGAAAGUGCCUCUCCCUCUCCGUUUGGAAUCAACAGGUUCUUGGGAGAAAAACAGGCACCGCAUCUGUUCAUAGAGUUACAAUUAAAAUUGAUGAGAAUGAUGUCUCUACACCUUUACAGAUUUUUCAUGAUCCUCCUUUGCCAGCUUUAGAUUCCCAAUCAGUAGAAAGAGCCAUGAAGAUUGACCACUUAUCAAUAGAAAAACUCCUGAUUGAUAGUGUCCAUGCAAGAGCUCAUCAGAAGCUCCAGGAACUGAAGGCCAUUCUUAGAGGCUUCAAUGCCAAUGAAAACUCUUCCAUAGAGACUGCACUUCCAGCCCUGGUUGUUCCCAUCUUGGAGCCCUGCGGCAGUUCAGAGUGUCUGCACAUUUUUGUAGAUUUGCAUUCUGGAAUGUUCCAACUGAUGCUUUACGGACUUGACCAAAACACUCUGGACGACAUGGAGAAGUCUGUGAAUGAUGAUAUGAAACGGAUCAUUCCCUGGAUUCAGCACCUUAAAUUUUGGCUUGGACAGCAACGAUGCAAACAAUCUAUAAAGCAUCUGCCUACAACAAGCAGUGAAACAUUGCAGCUUUCUAAUUACUCAAUACAUCCUAUUGGAAACCUUUCUGAGAAUAAGCUGUUUAUUAAACUUACCCGCCUUCCUCAAUAUUACAUUGUUGUGGAGAUGUUGGAGGUUCCCAGUAACCCCACGCAGCUGUCAUACAAGUACUACUUCCUAUCUGUGAAUGCAACAGAUCAAGAAGACAGCCCUAUCAUGGCACUGCUGCAGCAGCAGUUCAAGGAAGACGUCCAAGACUUGAUUUUUCAUACAAAAUCUGGGAAACAGACCAGAACCAGUACCAAGCACAAGUUAUCUGAUGAUCCAUGUCCAGUAGAAUCCAAGAAAACCAAACGAUCGGGAGAAAUGUGUGCCUUCAAUAAAGUUCUAGCUCACUUUGUUGCUAUAUGUGACACAAAUAUGCCAUUUGUCAGACUUCAAUUGGAGUUGUCCAAUCUGGAUAUUCCACAUCAAGGAGUGCAAGUGGAAGGUAAUGGCUUCAGCCAUGCACUUCCCUUAUUAAAAAUUCCUCCUUGUCAGGGUAUAAGUGAAGAAACACAAAAGGCUCUGGACCGCUCUCUUCUUGAUUGCACUUUCCGAUUACAAGGUAGAAAUAACCGCACAUGGGUGGCAGAGUUAGUGUUUGCAGACUGUCCCCUUAUUGGCACUUCUACUAGGGAGCAAGGACCGUUCAGGCAUGUUUACCUUACAUAUGAAAAUGUGUUGUCUGAACCUGUUGGUGGUAGAAAAAUAGUUGAAACGUUCCUUAAUGACUGGAGUAGUAUUGCACGAUUAUAUGAGUGUGUUUUGGAAUAUGCACAUUCUCUACCAGACCUACCUGCUCAUCUAAAUAUUUUCUCCGAAGUUCGUGUGUAUAAUUACCAAAAACUUAUUUUGUGUUAUGGAACUACCAAGGGAAGUUCAAUUAGUAUCCAAUGGAAUUCCAUCCAUCAGAAAUUUCACAUUUCCUUGGGAACUGUUGGCCCAAACUCAGGUUGCAGUAAUAGUCACAAUACCAUUCUUCAUCAACUUCAAGAAAUGUUCAACAAAACACCAAAUGUAGUUCAGUUAUUACAGGUACUGUUUGAUACUCAGGCUCCAUUGAAUGCCUUCAACAAACUCCGCACUGUGCCGAUGCUGGGCUUGACCCAGAGAACCAACACUGCCUACCAAUGCUUCUCCAUUCUGCCACAGUCAUCCACCCACAUCAGACUGGCCUUUAGGAACACGUACUGCAUUGAUAUAUACUGCCAGAGUGGUGGUGUUGUGGCAAUACGAGAUGGUGCCUAUAGUCUUUUCGAUAACAGCAAAUUAGUUGAAGGUUUUUAUCCUGCACCAGGACUAAAGACAUUCCUGAAUAUGUUUGUUGACAGCAAUCAGGGUGCUCAAAGAAGGUCUAUAACCGAGGAUGAUAAUCCCCCUUCUCCUAUAGGAGGAGAUAUGAUGGAUUCUUUAAUAUCACAACUCCAGCCUCCAACCCAGCAACAGCCAUUUUCAAAGCAGCCAGGAACAUCGGGCACUUAUCCUAUUACUUCACCCCCUCCAUCUUACCACAGCACCAUUAAUCAGUCUCCCUCUAUGAUGCAUGCACAGUCUCCAGGAACUCUUGACCCUAGUUCACCGUAUAAUAUGGUGUCACCAAGUGGACAAGCAGGGAACUGGCCAGGGUCACCUCAAGUAUCUGGCCUCUCACCAACAACAUUCAUGCCAGGAAUGUCACCAGCCAAUCCAUCACUACAUUCUCCUGUUCCAGACACUUCUCAUUCCCCUCAAGCUGGAACAAGUUCCCAAACAAUGCCAACAAACAUGCCUCCACCCCGUAAACUACCUCAGCGCUCUUGGGCAGCAUCCUCACCUACUAUCCUGACUCACAGUGCCUUGAACAUUUUACUGCUGCCCUCACCAAUGCCGGGCCUUAUGCCUGGCUUGGCAGGCAGUUACCUGUGUUCUCCACUUGAGAGAUUUCUUGGAUCAGUCAUCAUGAGAAGACACCUUCAAAGAAUUAUUGAACAAGAAAUGCUGCAGCUGAUAAAUUCCAAUGAACCUGGAGUAAUAAUGUUUAAAACUAAUGCACUGAAAUGCAGAGUAGCCCUGAGUCCCAAAACCAACCAGACACUUCAGCUAAAAGUGACACCUGAAAACGCAGGACAGUGGAAACCUGAGGAACUUCAAGUUUUAGAGAAAUUCUUUGAAACAAAGGUUGUAGGACCACCAUUUAAAGCUAAUACAUUAAUAGCCUUCACCAAGCUUUUAGGAGCUCCUACACACAUCCUCAGGGACUGUGUGCACAUUAUGAAGCUGGAGCUUUUCCCUGAUCAGGCAACACAGCUAAAGUGGAAUGUUCAGUUCUGCCUGACGAUCCCUCCGAGCGCACCACCGAUUGCACCUCCUGGAAUGCCUGCUGUAGUGCUGAUAUCCAAAAUGCUAUUUUUUCUUCAGCUUACUCAGAAAACAGCGGUCCCUUCCCAAGAACCUCUUAGUGUUAUAGUUCCAAUCAUUUAUGACAUGGCUUCAGGUACAACCCAGCAGGCAGACAUUCCCAGACAGCAGUACUCUUGUGUUGCUGCUCGCAUGAUGGUCGGCAACAUUCUGAAGAGAUUUGCAGAGAUGAAUCCACCACGGCAAGGUGAAUGCACAAUAUUUGCAGCUGUUCACUAUUUAAUGGCUAAUCUUAUACUGUCUCCUUUUGGGCAUCCAUAG